RNAcentral lists this ribosomal RNA (1372 nucleotides) under uncultured bacterium. Its description in RNAcentral is "bacterial SSU rRNA". It matches the Rfam family "Bacterial small subunit ribosomal RNA", at positions 28 to 1381 of the family's 1533-position model. The record is from RNAcentral.
GAUGAACGCUGGCGGCGUGCCUAAUACAUGCAAGUCGAGCGAACGGACGAGAAGCUUGCUUCUCUGAUGUUAGCGGCGGACGGGUGAGUAACACGUGGAUAACCUACCUAUAAGACUGGGAUAACUUCGGGAAACCGGAGCUAAUACCGGAUAAUAUUUUGAACCGCAUGGUUCAAAAGUGAAAGACGGUCUUGCUGUCACUUAUAGAUGGAUCCGCGCUGCAUUAGCUAGUUGGUAAGGUAACGGCUUACCAAGGCAACGAUGCAUAGCCGACCUGAGAGGGUGAUCGGCCACACUGGAACUGAGACACGGUCCAGACUCCUACGGGAGGCAGCAGUAGGGAAUCUUCCGCAAUGGGCGAAAGCCUGACGGAGCAACGCCGCGUGAGUGAUGAAGGUCUUCGGAUCGUAAAACUCUGUUAUUAGGGAAGAACAUAUGUGUAAGUAACUGUGCACAUCUUGACGGUACCUAAUCAGAAAGCCACGGCUAACUACGUGCCAGCAGCCGCGGUAAUACGUAGGUGGCAAGCGUUAUCCGGAAUUAUUGGGCGUAAAGCGCGCGUAGGCGGUUUUUUAAGUCUGAUGUGAAAGCCCACGGCUCAACCGUGGAGGGUCAUUGGAAACUGGAAAACUUGAGUGCAGAAGAGGAAAGUGGAAUUCCAUGUGUAGCGGUGAAAUGCGCAGAGAUAUGGAGGAACACCAGUGGCGAAGGCGACUUUCUGGUCUGUAACUGACGCUGAUGUGCGAAAGCGUGGGGAUCAAACAGGAUUAGAUACCCUGGUAGUCCACGCCGUAAACGAUGAGUGCUAAGUGUUAGGGGGUUUCCGCCCCUUAGUGCUGCAGCUAACGCAUUAAGCACUCCGCCUGGGGAGUACGACCGCAAGGUUGAAACUCAAAGGAAUUGACGGGGACCCGCACAAGCGGUGGAGCAUGUGGUUUAAUUCGAGGCAACGCGAAGAACCUUACCAAAUCUUGACAUCCUUUGACAACUCUAGAGAUAGAGCCUUCCCCUUCGGGGGGCAAAGUGACAGGUGGUGCAUGGUUGUCGUCAGCUCGUGUCGUGAGAUGUUGGGUUAAGUCCCGCAACGAGCGCAACCCUUAAGCUUAGUUGCCAUCAUUAAGUUGGGCACUCUAAGUUGACUGCCGGUGACAAACCGGAGGAAGGUGGGGAUGACGUCAAAUCAUCAUGCCCCUUAUGAUUUGGGCUACACACGUGCUACAAUGGACAAUACAAAGGGCAGCGAAACCGCGAGGUCAAGCAAAUCCCAUAAAGUUGUUCUCAGUUCGGAUUGUAGUCUGCAACUCGACUACAUGAAGCUGGAAUCGCUAGUAAUCGUAGAUCAGCAUGCUACGGUGAAUACGUUCCCGGGUCU